CCUACGGGAGGCAGCAGUGAGGAAUAUUGGUCAAUGGGCGCGAGCCUGAACCAGCCAAGUAGCGUGAAGGAUGACUGCCCUACGGGUUGUAAACUUCUUUUAUAAAGGAGUAAAGUGAGGCACGUGUGCCAUCUUGUACGUACUUUAUGAAUAAGGAUCGGCUAACUCCGUGCCAGCAGCCGCGGUAAUCCGGAGGGUGCGAGCGUUAUACGGAUUUAUUGGGGUUAAAGGGUGCGUAGGCGGGGCUGUAAGUUAGUCGUGAAAGGCCCGGGCUCAACCCCGGCGAGGCCGUUGAAACUGGGUGUCUUGAGAGGAGGAGAGGUAUGCGGAAUGCCCGGUGUAGCGGUGAAAUGCGUAGAUAUUGCGCAGAACACCGAUUGCGAAGGCAGCAUACCG
RNAcentral lists this ribosomal RNA (396 nucleotides) under uncultured bacterium. RNAcentral's name for it is "partial 16S ribosomal RNA". It matches the Rfam family "Bacterial small subunit ribosomal RNA", at positions 338 to 731 of the family's 1533-position model. The record is from RNAcentral.